Molecule: long non-coding RNA, 320 nt
Filed under: Fragaria vesca (wild strawberry)
Lineage: Eukaryota; Viridiplantae; Streptophyta; Magnoliopsida; Rosales; Rosaceae
Description: long non-coding RNA (FVES_LNC002939)
Source: RNAcentral
UAAAAGCUAUCUAGACUCCUGGUAACAAGCAAUAUCCAUUUAUUUUGUAUCAACAUCAAGUUGUUUAGAUCUUACUAGCAAAAGAAAGACCUUCCUUCGCAAGCUGAUCUAAACUCUCAACAGGAGGUUGGAGCUUUGCAACCUUGGCAAUAGCCUGGUUUUCCUCAGGAGUGCCAGCCUCCAGAAAUGCACCGAUCACCUUGCCGUCUUUAAUCCAGUAGGUUCCGAACUUGGGCUUUGGUGAGGUGGGAUUGUUGUCUCCAAAGAGCACGGUCUCACCAACAUUAUCACCAUAGAAUUGCCAUGACAGAUCAAAGGAG